CAUGCUCGGCGGGGUUGUGCUGCUGUCCGCGGAGCCAGCUGGGCUCAGCCGUUCUCUUUUGAGUAAGAUCUCAUCAAAAUGAACAAGUUGAGCCCAGUCUUGGCAGACACUGAACAGCACUGAUGACCAGCACCUAAUCUGGAGACACAUGUGGGGGAAGAUGUGCAACCACAGGCAAGGCUGAAACUUCUGAUGGCCAUGAACACAGACAUUGCACCCGUGGUGCUGGGUCCAGCUGUUGUUCUGUCCUUGGUAAAUAUCUGAGUUAAAGUAAUGGGAGUUUCUCACCUUGCAAUAAAUUGCUUAGAAAGUGCAUUUCACAAUUUGAUGUCCAAGCUGUAAUAGAGAAGGAGCUCCAUGAGACUGUAGACAGGUAAGCACUCAUGCCAGCUGGCUUUUACAUGCUCACAAUCUAAUCCACACCAGCUGUAUUCUUUGAUGUUGUAAACCAGUUUACUUUUACUUUGACAACAAGCUACUACUGCAGGAAGAGACAAGACUGAAAACAGUGUUUAUAGGGCAUAAAACAGUGAAAUAAUAGGUAUUAUACAGCAGGUAAUAUUUUUAAAAUGCAUAAAGAUAAUGAAACAAAUAUUUGUUACAGCUGAAAAUCAAAAAGUCAAGAGACUACUUAAAAUGUACUUUUCUGUUACCCACUGAAAAAAUUCUACAUGUAGACAUUGCUCAAAAAAAUAUGGGAAAACUUUGUCUAUUUAAAGACAUAAUAUUUUCCCUGGCUUCAGUCAAUACAGCAUUUCUAUUCCUACAUGGAGAAAGAAACCCCAAGCACUCCAACAGACUGCUGACAAGUCUAAAGAAGCCAGGAAGUCGGGACCAAAACUCUUUCCAGCUUACCCUGAGAGGCUCAACAAAGCACCUCAAAUGUUGGAUACAAUCACCCACUUUCUUAAGCCACCUUCAAAGCAUAUGCCAGAAGCAUGCCAAAGAAGAGCAAGAUUUUGACCUUGUUACCUUCACUUAUAGGAUGUCAAGUAGUGACCUUGCCUUCUGGCAGGUCUUGUGCAGCACCGUGGAGCCCAUCACCACCUGGCAGCUCACCUUUCUCAUUGGCAAAGCAAGAAUAUUUCCAAAUUCUUCUUUUUCAACUGGGAGUUCCCUUCCAAAGCUAUUGAAUUUGUGGAUUGAGACAUGAAGCAGAGAUCCAGCAGCAAGAGGUACAGAAUAGCACUGAGACUGUGAAGGAGAAGCUGUGCUGUGUCAUGGGAGAGCCCAUCACCAGCAAGGCAGAGCUUUGAAGAAAGCUCUGACAACUUUGCUGAGCUCCAUCACACCCUCUGCAGCUGUCAAAGGUGAGCCUUGCUCAGUCUAAAGCAGCACAAGCAAAACACAGGGCACAGCUUAGUGCAGUGACCUGUCAAACUGAAUGAGAGGAGAUGUGCAAGAAGUAACUUGGGCUCCACUUGAGUUUUAAAGUUGGAUUCCAGAGCCCACUGCAAUUUCUCAGUGGUCUUUGGAUUAACUGUACUUGUACUUCAGCAUCAAAAUAUUUUGUUACACUUUCAGUAAACAACUUUACAUUUUUUUUAGCUUGAGGAAUGUCUGUGUCCUGAUCUUAUAGGCAGUUAUUGCUCCAAGUUACUGAUCCCAUCUUGAGCAGCAGCCUCCAGCAUUACAGUUCCCUUCUUUUUUGUGGUGAGGCCCAUUUGACCUCAUAGGGUGAUGGCACUUCCCUGUAAAUGAAUUAUAGACAGAUCUAAACAUCAGGGAAAUCCAGUCUAGAGUCAGAGUAUUGGCUUUAUAAUAUCAUAAAUUAUAUUAUAAUAAUAUAAUAUGUUAUUAUAAUAUAAUUGUACAUUAUACUGCCAGAAAAUAACAGAAAAUAUCCAUUUUUUUCACUCUGUGAUUCUUAUGUUGGCUUCCUGAUGCGUAAUAAUCACCUGGUGACUUAAUGCUUACCCCAAAGUACAUGUUAGGAAUUCCAGGUGGAGACUUUUGCAUGUCCUUUCAUCACAUGCAUACAAAAAUCAAUACUACAUUCCUAUUGUUUAAUUUAUUGCUGAUCCAUAAUUUGAUAAUAAUGUAUAAAGCAAUUUUAAUUUUUGUUUUCAAAUAAAAGCUGUCUUUUUCACCCAUAAUUAUUUUCAUUAAAAUAUAUUAUUUUGGCAAAUAUUCUAGAUGUUCUGGACAUGAGGAUAUGAUUUUCAGAAAAAGGUUCACUUUGGUAGAAAGAUAUUUAAUUUAAAAUGUAUACCUUUAUUAAUAAUUGUGAAAGGCAAUGGAUAUGAAAAAAAUUAUACUUAAUAUGAAAACAUCUCCUCUUCAAAAAAAAAGGUACAUUGAAAAAAAUGCAACUUUUUUGGGGGACUACUUACUAAGUUUAAAUUAAAUUGCUAAUUCACAUUAAUAUAUAUUUGCCAAAGUAAAAUGAAAUUUUGAAAGUUUGAAAAUACUGAAAUGUACCAUUUCAACAGUUCUUGAGCAAUAAUACUUCAUGAUUUUACAUUGAAGUUAUUUUAUUUCUCUUUUAAUUAGUAUACAUAGACUAUAUCUGAAUAGUCAUAAUUAAAAAGAAUAAAAUUACUUAUUUUUAAUGCUGUGACCAUAAUAAAUUUUUAAAGUAUUUUAUUUAUGCAUUUUGUUUUAAUUUGUAGGACUUUCUGAGCAAUCAGGAAGGGAAUUUACUGAAAAUCUUAUAAAAUAGAAAUUUUAUCUUCACUUUGAUUCUAAUAUUUAUCUUUUUAUGCUACCACAGGGCUCAGAGGUCUGUCAAGUCCUGCACAUGCACCCACCCUGGUGUGGUUGUGACAUUUCAGCUUUGCAGUUGUUAACAUACAGGCUAAAAUAUCCAUAUAUUGAUAUAUCUGCACUCACUCUGUCUGUAAUGACUGUAUUUAGGGACUCAGAUAUGAAGAAAUGUGUCCAUAAGCAUGAAAGUUGAAUCAUGGAAUCUCAGAAUGGUUUGGGUUGGAAGGGACCUAGGGGGUGAUCUAAUUCCAAACCCCCUACUUUGGGAAGGGGCAUCUUCCAUUAGACCAAGUUGCUCAGUCCCAUCCACCCUGGCCCUAAACACUUUAAAUGCUCUUCCUUUUAUAAGUAUUCAGCUUAUGAUGACUUAGAAAACCCAUAUUUUUAGCUGUUGGACCACACUUCAUGGUACUCUCUGCUGCUCUGUACAAUUAAUAUUGUUACCACGCUUAACUUUGUUGAAAAGUUGAUGACAGGCAUUCAAUUAGGUAUAAAAUAAUGAAGCUUAUUGUAAAUGUUGAGAAAAAUGCUGACUCUUAGCUGAUGGGAUAAUGUGCUUUAGCUGUAUAUAGUAGAACUUUAAUUAAUCCAAUUUUACAUUGUUGGAUUAUUGUUCCCCCUAUGAACUAUGCCAUCAAAUAAGUGCUAUAAGCAGUGCAAUUCCAAUUUUCUAAAUGAAUAUUUUCAUUUUUUUACAAUGUUACUUUUAAAUUAUUUACUAGAAAAAUAGAGACUCUGUAAUAAUCUCCAAGGUUUAUAGUAAAUCUAAGUUAUAGUGAGGUUUGCAUCUAAAUGCUUCCUUGUUCAAAGCUAGAAUGCAAAGGAGCACAUGUUGCCAAUCCCUAAGACUGCAGAGCAAGGAAGAGUCAAUUACAACUUUCUGGUUGUUUCUCUAUCCUUCUGAAGGGACAUGAAGCAGACUACCUGUGCUGGGGAACCUGGAAUCUGCAGGAGUGUGGGAUCCUUGCUGGCAGUCUGACAUUCCUGAUAUGUUAUGUGGCCCGUGGCACAGAGCUGAUGUUCUGAAUUACCAAUUAUAUACCUAAUGGAGCCCUGAGAACUAACUCCUGCCCUCCUCUGGGUACUGAGGCAGUCUUUAAACACUGGCAAAGGACUGAUGCUAUAAAUAAAACUCUGUCUCCAUAGCGACAGGCAGCUCAGUGCUCAGCUUUCAACACUUUAAAAAGCCUUUGAGAAAAGAAGGAAACUCAGUUUUCCUGGUUUUCAUCUUGACAAUAAAAAAGCAGGAUGAAGAACCUUUAUGCCUAUGAUGGAGCUGUUAAUAUUGCUGGGUAGUGAAUGGAGAAAAGGGCUUCUGGAGCAAAAGGGACUUCCCAGAGCGAAAACUUCUCACGUAAAGAACUAGAAGAAUUGCAUCCCUAGAACAGCAGAAUGGAAAACAGAAUUUUUCCAAUGGUUUGACAACCCAAGAAGCUGCUCACCCUCAGCACAGAGCCAGUGUGAGGCCCAAAAGCCACUGAAGCACAGCUCCUGCUUGUGUGUCUCUGUCACCCUCCACAGCAGGGUUGUUUUUCUGGCCAGCUGACUGAUUAUCUGCUGUUGCCUGAAAUGUACUGCCAGCUCCGUCCAGUCCCUUAGAGCUCUCUCCAUCUUCUGUCUUUUCCUUGUUUAACUCUCUUUUUACCUCUUUUUUCCUGCUGUACCUGAGCUCCAACAGAUGCUUUUCCCCCACCAUUCCAGUGGUGAGUGUAGCUUUAGGGGUGCUGUUGGGCUGCAGCAUGGCAGUGGGAUGUGGGGGAGCCAGCACAACCACUCAUUCCCCAGUGUUGCUGGUGUUAGAAGCCAACAGUCUUUUACUGCCUGAAAAACAAUUUACUGAGCCUGCACACACUGGGAUACUGUGCUUUUGUCACACUGAUAAUGCCUGGGAGGAGGGCGAGGAGCUGAGCUCAACUGUGUAUUUUCAUGUGAGUCCUUCUGCAAGGACCCCUGAGGCUUGGUGGGAAGAGCAGAAGGAUUGUGUCCCAUGCUCCAGCAUGAUCCCUGUUUCACCUGAUCCCACCAUGUCAGUGAGCUGCCUCAGCAACCCCUCCCUUGGACACUGUGAGAGGAUGGUAAAUGGGAAUAGAAGGUUGUUGGAUAUUUCUGGAAGGAUUCAUGAUGUUAAUGAAAGUCUCAAAGCUUGGAUCGGAGAGCACUAUCAAAUUUGCCUUUUUCUGGAAAAUCUGAGGUGACAGAACAUGAACUCAAACUUCAAUACUUGAGGUUUUGUUCUUUUAGUAUCUCUUGACCAGUACAUCUGCAGCAAGCCAAACAUUCAAGCUCACUCUAGUUGGGAAAACAGUUUGAAAUAAGUGAUUCUUAAUCUGCUUAUUCAAGAUAGAGAUACACUCUGGAGCCAAACUUUUCUCAAUGUUCUGUUAUUUUUGGCCAACCAUACUAUGUCUCUCUAAUCUUAAAGAACCCAAAGCAUUUAUUUGUUGCCAAAGAAACACUUUAUGUUUAGGACAGAUCUGUUUAGCUGCAGGCACCUUCGUCAUUCAGUUUUCAACCCUCAGUUCUGUCUGUGGCAGCUGACCUCAGAGUGACAAUGGAGGCUGGCCCUUGCCACCAAGACUGGAGCAUAGAAACCCUCUUCUUGAAAGCAAAAAAGAAGAGCAGCAUAAGGGUUUUGAAUCGACUUUCAGUUUGCACAUUCUACUAAUAAUUUGGUCUUUAUCUCUUGCAUUGUUCUCUGUACUCUGAAGCUUCAGAAUUAUCUUGACUGAUGUGUCUGAGCCAGUGUUGUGUCACCAGCCUUUGCAUUGGGGAAGAAAACUAUGAUAGCAAGACAGAUAGCUCGGAAAGAGCAAUUUGUAUAAGGAGGAGAGUCACAUUGAUCAUGUCAUAACAUCACUACCAGUUACAUGGACACUUCAGCUCCAAGUAGAAAAGAUUCAUUUCCACAAAAGAGCCUUGGCUUGAAUAGCCUAAGAGAGUGAAAGCCAUGCAAAGUAAUUUCCAAGAAGUAAAGUUUCAAGGAAAAAGAAAGGAAAGAAUAAAACAUUAAGGAAUGUAUGGAAUAUUUUCUAUAUAGUGUAUGUUGGGGUGGGUUUUCUGGGUGGCUGGAAAAGGAGACACUGUAAGGAUUGUAGCUCCAGGUCAUGGUACUAACACAAGUGCAGGUGUAUUGCUGCACACCUGCUUUCUUAAAUACUCCAGUUGCAGCUGGCCUUGCCAAAGUCACUUCAUGGUCCCCAAAACUCAUCUCUGCCUUGAUAUCAGCAAAAUCUGAGCAAUACCUGGCAGCUGCUCUUAGCUUUACUGAUUUCAACCACCAUGUGUUGGCUGUAUUUACCUUACCCAUGAGUCUGAUAUCUAAUUGUAUCUAGUCUAUGUUCUACUCUUCCAUAUUCUAUGUUCUGCUUGUACAGGCCCAGAUUUCUGAGCUACUGAGUUUCAAUCAGAGCCUUUUAUAUGCAGGCAGUGUUUAGAUGUAUUCAUGUUUUGGGUGCAGCUGCACGAAAAGGGAAAACUUCUGUACUGGGCCUGAUCUUCAAAUAUGAUGAUCCAUUAGCAUUCUACUCUGAGCAAAAUAUGGUGUGAAAUACCAGCUUUAGGUGCUGAAGGCAAAUUGUGUAGUUGGAAAGGUGAUCUCACAGUCUUACACAGCUGAAAGAUGUGCUUCUGUAUCACACACUGGAUGCCAUCAGGCUGAAUCCUUUUUCAGUGUAGUCACAACUCUUUUGCACACUUCUAAUAGUUUGCAUUCCUUUUGUGCAUCAAUAUUAACAAAGAGGGUUUUUCCUGAAAAAAAAAUCAUAUUUGCUAUAUUUUGUUGAAGAAUACUAUACUAUUUUGUUGAAGAAUAUAUUAUUUAUUGUUUUGUUGCAUAAUGAUGGAAUGCACAAUUUUUUUCCAAGGGUCGGAAAUGAAUUUUUUUUAAUACUUCUUCCUUUUCUGCUUUGAAAUUGUUAAAUAGAAGUGGCAGGAGUAUUAAUGGUCUUCUGCUAGUGCUAAGAUAUGCUUUUGUUUCACUGUCUCUAAAUUAAGCUUGUUAUUGUCUUUAGUUUUGUCUGGAUAUAGACACGGUGAAAUAACGUCACUUUUGUCCUUUCAUUUACUUUGAUUUAAAUUCUAGAAACUUUUGAGGCCUUGAUACUAUCUUUUGACAAAACAGAAAUGUAAUGAACUGUGAAUGCCCUAAAGCACAGACCUUCAAAAUUUAGAAUAACAAGAGUUCACACUGAAGGACAUUUUAUUGCCUUAUUAUUAUACUAUUACGGGAAAUAGUCUUAGGAGAAAUGGGAAUAUUAAGAAAUUAUUGUUCAUUUGAGUCAUAGGUCAAAUCAGGGACCUUAUUGCAAAUGCAUAGAAAUUAUCUUUACAGCUUCUAGAAGGUUAGAUGGAGUUCAAGGCCAAGCAUUCAUACAAGUAAGAAAGGUCAAAUUAUACAUAUGAUAAUACUUGGUGACAACAAAGCCAAAGGUCAAGUCUGAGGCAUUAUUGUGGCACAUACAGAGAAAAUUACCAUUCAGAUAUCAUAUGGCAUUCCUGCCGGCUCCAGGGCCAGAUUCUCAUCUUGGUUCUGCUGUUGCAAAACGAAAGAUUCCAGUAAAGCACCUGUGCAUUUGAAAGACUGGGUUUAUUCUUGAAUAUUUAGCUUUAGUUCAAUGAAGUCUCCAGUAGAGAAAGUAAACAAGUUCCCCGUGCUAUUUUGCCAUUUCCAUAUUUUAAGAUGUGUAAACUUCAAUAGAUAAAUUGGCUCCAUGGAUUUCUGCUUUGUUAUUGCAAUAUUUAUGUGUCCUGAAUUCCUAGACAAAAAAUAACCAAAGCACAGUCUUGCAAAACUUAUAUAGUGAAAUGGGAGUUACAAGAAAGUGAAGAAAUUAUUAUUUACUUUUUGUUGCACAUUUUAGUAAAUUGCUUUUUUUAGAUGUGAAGAGGUUUUUGUCUGCUAUCAGCAUGAAACUUUUAAGUAUAGUCAUUUUGAAAAGGUUUAAUUUAGAGUUUGCUGUCUUGGAUAAGUGAAAGAAUGAAUGAAUGAAUGAAUGAAUGAAUGAAUGAAUGAAUGAAUGAUUUUUCAAAUAAUAUGUUUUUCUAAGUUGCUUACAAUCCCUUGAAAAUGGCCUACUUAAAUUGUAGAAUAUAAGGAAAAAUAAUCAGCUUUUAAAGCAAACUUUUUUUUUGUUGCUGUAAAAGUGUUGUGUCGACACAGAUCAAAUAAAAUGGUUUUCCCCAAAUCAACAGGAGAAAAAUGUUACUGAUCCACACUUAUGCAUCAGAGAAAUGACUGUUUGGAUCAUACUCAAGCAGUGGGAUAACCUGUAUAUUUACUCUAAUACACUGUUCUUGGUAAUUGGAAGCAAUAUAACAUUAUCUCUAUUGAUACAGCUAAUAAAG
Molecule: long non-coding RNA, 8049 nt
Organism: Passer domesticus (house sparrow)
Lineage: Eukaryota; Metazoa; Chordata; Aves; Passeriformes; Passeridae
Exons: 8
Source: RefSeq, a predicted model, not a curated record